RNAcentral lists this ribosomal RNA (343 nucleotides) under uncultured bacterium. RNAcentral describes it as "bacterial SSU rRNA". It matches the Rfam family "Bacterial small subunit ribosomal RNA", at positions 32 to 352 of the family's 1533-position model. The record is from RNAcentral.
AAUCAACGCUGGCGGCGUGCCUCAGACAUGCAAGUCGAACGCGAAAGGUUCCUUCGGGGACCGAGUAGAGUGGCGCACGGGUGAGUAACACGUAGGUAAUUUGCCUUUGGGUGGGGAAUAACUCAGGGAAACUUGAGCUAAUACCGCAUAAUGCAGCGGCUCGACAUCGAGACAGUUGUUAAAGCGGGGGAUUCGCAAGAACCUCGCGCCUAAAGAGAAGCCUGCGGCAGANAGUCUAGUUGGUAAGGUAAUGGCUUACCAAGGCGACGAUCUGUAACCGGCCUGAGAGGGCGGUCGGUCACACUGACACUGACAUACGGGUCAGACUCCUACGGGAGGCAGC